CCGGGUAACGAAGAAUUAGGGUUCGAUUUCGGAGAGGGAGCAUGAGAAACGGCUACCACAUCUAAGGAAGGCAGCAGGCGCGUAAAUUACCCAAUCCUGACUCAGGGAGGUAGUGACAAGAAAUAGCAAACCGGGAACCUCAUGGUUUCACGGUAUUGCAAUGAGAACAAUUUAAAACCCUUAGCGAGAAUCAAGUGGAGGACAAGUCUGGUGCCAGCACCCGCGGUAAUUCCAGCUCCACUAGCGUAUAUUAAAGUUGUUGCAGUUAAAAGCUCGUAGUUGAACCUCUGUCUGGGGCUAGUUUUGGCUUUGGUCAGGCUAGUUCUAGGCAUCCGCCUACAAGACUUAGAGGGCAUUCAGUUGUUCACUAGGAGGAGUAGGCAUUUUACUUUGAAAAAAUUAGAGUGUUUAAGGCAGGCAAUCGCCCGCAUAUAUUAGCAUGGAAUAAUAGAAUAGGACACUUUUCCAUUUCGUUGGUUAUUGGAAUCGUGUAAUGAUUAAUAGGGACAGUUGUGGGCAUUUGUAUUUAAUUGUCAGAGGUGAAAUUCUUGGAUUUAUUAAAGACAAACUAACGCGAAAGCAUUUGCCAAGGAUGUUUUCAUUAAUCAAGAACGAAAGUUAGGGGAUCAAAGACGAUCAGAUACCGUCCUAGUCUUAACUAUAAACUAUUCCGACUCAAUGUUUGACUGGCUUAUAUAACCAGUUGAGCGUUGUAUGAGAAAUCAAAGUCUUUAGGUUCUGGGGGGAGUAUGGUUGCAAAGCUGAAACUUAAAGGAAUUGACGGAAGAGCACAACCAGGAGUGGAUUCUGCGGCUUAAUUUGACUCAACACGGGGAAACUUACCAGGUUAAAACAAUAGUGGGAUUGACAGUUUGAGAGCGCUUUCUUGAUUGGUUGGGUGGUGGUGCAUGGCCGUUCUUAGUUGGUGGAGUGAUUUGUCUGCUUAAUUGCGUUAACGAACGAGACCUUAACCUGCUUACUAGACUGGCGAUCAUCAAUCGUUAGCUCUUCUUAGAGGGACUUUGGUUGUUUUAACUCCAAGGAAGUUUGAGGCAAUAACAGGUCUGUGAUGCCCUUAGAUAUCCUGGGCCGCACGCGUCAUACAAUGACUAGUUCAGAAAGUUUUCUCCUGACCCGAAAGGGGAUGGGUAAUCUUGAUAAUACUAGUCGUGUUAGGGAUCGAUCUUUGCAAUUAUAGAUCUUGAACGAGGAAUUCCUAGUAAGUGCGGUUCAUCAGACCGUACUGAUUACGUCCCUGCUCUUUGUACACACCGCCCGUCGCUUCUACCGGGUGGGUGGUCCGGUGAGAUAAUUGAACUUCGCAGGUAACUGAGAGGAAAGAUUAUCAAACCUAUCCACCUCGAGGAAGAAGAAGUCGUAACAAGGUU
RNAcentral lists this ribosomal RNA (1388 nucleotides) under metagenome. RNAcentral describes it as "SSU rRNA". It matches the Rfam family "Eukaryotic small subunit ribosomal RNA", at positions 355 to 1801 of the family's 1831-position model. The record is from RNAcentral.